This 482-nucleotide ribosomal RNA is filed under the name uncultured bacterium. Its description in RNAcentral is "partial 16S ribosomal RNA". It matches the Rfam family "Bacterial small subunit ribosomal RNA", at positions 28 to 507 of the family's 1533-position model. The record is from RNAcentral.
GACGAACGCUGGCGGCGUGCUUAACACAUGCAAGUCGAACGAUGAAGAAGAGAAACGCGAACUUCGGUUCAAAUUUCACUUCGGAUUAGUGGCAGACGGGUGAGUAACGCGUGAGCAACCUACCUCUUACAAAGGGAUAGCCUCGGGAAACCGUGAUUAAUACCAUAUGACACAUUCAUAAGGCAUCUUAAGAAUGUUAAAGCUACGGCGGUAAGAGAUGGGCUCGCGUCCCAUUAGCUAGUUGGUGAGGUAACGGCCCACCAAGGCGACGAUGGGUAACCGGCCUGAGAGGGUGAACGGUCACAUUGGAACUGAGGCACGGUCCAAACUCCUACGGGAGGCAGCAGUGGGGAAUAUUGCACAAUGGAGGGAACUCUGAUGCAGCGACGCCGCGUGAGCGAUGAAGGAAUUCGUUUCGUAAAGCUCUGUUCUAUGGGAAGAAAAGGACUGUACCAUAGGAGAAAGCCCCGGCUAAAUACGUG